GUGUGCACUCCAUACAUCGAUAGCGCACGCGCACCGACCAUCCUCUCCGCAUCACUUGCUGUCUUUGCCUUACGACCCUGGGGGAGUCGAGGCCAGUUGAGCCUGGGGCGGGCACGAGGACCACCGACCGAGCGAAACGACAUCAACAACCUACACGCACCCCCCCCCCCAACACACACACACAUACACACGCAAGCGCAGCUGCGCACGGAUGCGUGCUUUUCGUUCUCCACGAAGCCCGGUCUCUCGCCGCCUCUGGCAGCUUGUCGCUGCAGCCGUGACUGAACUGCGCUGCUCCAAAGCCGCUUUUUUCAAAGGCGGGUGGUGGGGUGGGCGAGCGGGGAGGUCGGCAGUGGUGUGUCUUGUUCUCACGCUACGGCUUGUGGUGUGAUGCUUACUCGUCGCCAGGCGCGGCUCUUGGGCCUCACGAGCGCCGAGGAUGGUGGCGCUUCAGGCAGCAGCACAAGCUCUGCAGCGCAAUCCCCGACCGGUGUCGCCGCGAGCGGUUUGCCGCGGGUUUCAGGUUACUCAAUUGCCUGUGAGGCGAUUUCGGCGACAUCCGCGAAGCCAAGUGAUCCGCGGCCCUUUAUUCGGCGCUUGAGCGCGACCGCCACAUCUUCAUUCUCUGCUUCCACUGCUGCACGCGGGUACCGCACAAACUCGUUCUUUGAACCUUCUUCUUCCGCCUCGAAGGUUUCACUGCACGCGAAUGGUGACAGUGGAGGCUGUGGUGGUGGCGGCCGCGCGCGUCUCGAGGCUCGGUACACGGACGCGCUGCUGUCUAAGGCGCAGGCGGCAAUUGACUAUUGGGCAGCAACGAGCACCACAGCUGGUCCUUCUAUCCGCUUCACGAAGGACUUAACUUCGCCGUGGCGCGCGCUGUACGCGUCUUCUGCGAAGUCAGCCGUACACGUGACAGACAGCUUUGGCGCCACUGCGAAAUCAGCGGAGGGCUCGAGCUUGGCAGGCUGUUCUGCACGCCUGACCGCGGCCCAGUUGCGCGUGCGAUGGCGCGGAGUUACACGGAACUGCAGCUCUCCUCGUGCCUCAGCGAAAAGCAUCAAUGAUGCGCACACCGCGCAGCUCUCGAUCGCAGCUUGCCCGGCAUCCACACCACCCAGCACCGAGCUCACGGUUGAAGCACAGGGGGGCAUUGUCACGAGCGGCGGCGAUUCUACUGGGGUGGCGCAGCAGACCAAUCGGGCACUUGCGCCACUCAAUGUCGUGUCUCGCCGCAGCCUCGCGCUCUUCACGUCUCCGUUUUACGCCGAUGUUGCCGCGCCUACUCUUUCUGCGUCAGCUGCAGCUCUGGGUGCGACGGAGGCGGGGGCAUUGUUGCCUGUAAUGCACCAGAUCCCGACUCAACGCGCCGCCACAACGGUGCUCGCACUCCAUCAGCGCAAGGAGGGCGUGUGCGCGCAGCGUCAGCGCCGCAUCUGCCGCGGAGUGCGCAACCAAGUGUGCAUGAAAGCACACGAGGCGCGCAUGCGGCUGCUUUUCGGUCUAUCCGGCACCGAUAGUCGCGCAGCCACGACGGCGCGAUCGGCGCCUUCAAAAACGGCGCUCGGCGGGGACCACAUCGCCGCUGGCGAGGAGACCUACCUGCAGAGCCUCAACCCGAGCAAGUCGGAUGAGGAGACGAAGGUGCUGCGCGUGGUCGCGGUCAUAGACGCGGCACUGCGACGGCAUCUCGCUUCCGCAUACACACACGCGUAUCCACAUUCUCGCUGCCGAUGAACCGCCAGCUGGAGAGAGAGCUCCGCACUUUUCGCCCCGUGCUCAUCAUCGCCCCUCUCAGUACUCUUCCACAUUGGGCCGGCGAGCUCCAGUUCUUCAGCCGGCGCCACACCGCUGCUGCAGUGUCACCGUGCCCAGGGGGCGUCGACGCUGCGGAGCGCUUUACCGUUUACGUGCUGAACGGCCCACGCUCGGAGCGGGAGUCUCGCAUGGGCGAGUUCCUCGCUCACGUUGAGCGACUUACGCAGCGGCCUCCGACACCCGGCGGCGCCUCCCGCGCCACACCCGCCACCCCUGUCGUGGUAAUCCCCCACGAUAUGCUGACAAAGCCUCCCAGCGGGGCUCUGCGGCAGACCAGCCGCGUGGACUGGCAUGUUGUGGCCAUCGAUGAGACCCAGCGCAUUAAGUGCGCUCGCAGUGUCCUCUUCAAGAAGGUGUGCGAGUUGCACUCUGUGUCGCGGCUUGUCUUGACGGGCACACCGUUGCAGAAAAACACGAUGGAGCUCUUCUCGCUCCUGCGCUUUUUGGCUCCGAACACGUUCGUGCCGAGUGAGUUGUUUGAACAGCUGGAUAGCGCACUGCUCGCUGCGAGUCGGUCGAGCGCGCUGGAGGGUCGCGAGCUGCACAACCUCCUGUGCCGCCGUGUUCAUCGACUUCUGAUGCCGUUCAUCUUGCGGCGGGAGAGGAGCAUCCUCAAGACGGCGCUGCCGCCCAUCCGAGACUACGCUGUGCUGUGCCCACUGCUCCCCUUUCAGAGCGCGCAGUUGAAGGAGGCGGAGCGGAAGCACCACGCCGGCACUCUCUCAGGUAAUCCAAUAUCCAGUACAGCAAGAUCCUGUUGCACCCGUACACAACGCAGUCGCUCUUUUACGUGGAUGAGGAGGUGGUGUACACGUCAGGAAAGCUGCUCGUGCUGGACUUCAUGAUGCGCUUUCUGCAGCGCACACAUCACAAGUUCCUGGUGCUCUGCGGAUGGACGCUGGUUUGCAUAUUGUGGAGACGCUGUGCGGCAUGCGCGGCAUCCCGUACGUGCGGCUGGACGACAGGACUACAGUCCAACAGCGGGAGGCAAACAUACAGGGCUUCAACAGCUCCGUGGCCAGCGGAAACGGCGUGGCGGAGGAAGCGGGUGGCGGCGGCGGUGAUGCGGAAGGCGACCCCGCAACUUCUCGACAGCGCCGCCACAGCCUUCAGCACGCCAGCACCGACACGACAGGCAGGCCAUCACCGAACGCGGAUGGCCAAUGCGAUGAGGAAGACGGCUCGUCGCUGCCGCUGGCAGCGCCGUGCUGCUUCCUGAUCAGCAAAGUCGCCGGCGGUGUAGGGCUGAACCUGCAGGCGGCGGACACCGUCUUUCUGCUGGAUGUGGACUACAAUCCGCAGCGGGACGCGCAGGCGCUCUCGCGGGUGUAUCGAGUGGGACAGACCAAGGAGGUGCGCGUCUUCCGCCUCAUCAUCGACCACGCCACCGAGCACGACAUCGUCGCCAUCCACGAGGCCAAGGAUGACCUAGGACGCGCUGUGGUGCAGGCCGGCUGCUACGAUCUCCACUCCUCCGUGCACGAGCGCGAGGCGGCGCUGCAGGGUAUCUUUCGGGCUGGAGCGCUUUCCCGGCUGAGUCAGCAGUGGGCCACAGCGACGCGGACGUCAGACGGCACGCAAGGUGACAGCGGCGAGGAGGAGAGGGAGGAGGCAGUGCCGAGCCAGUGCGCGUCGUUCCCGCCGAUUCCCUUUCCGAGGUGUGAUUUGAAUGGCGAGGGCGGCGCCGAUGGUGACGCAGAGGGGGCCAGCGAGACGUCGCGAAGCUCGGCGCAGACGCCGACGGACUUGCAUCGUGUCUUCAGCGGCGGCAGCGGCGGGGUGCCGGCAACGUCGUCUGCUCCGGGGAAGCAGGUGAAGGCCGAGAUGGAGGACAAAGGAGGCGGGCGGCUGGUGGACGCGGCGGACGGUGGGAUCUCUGUCACUGUGGCAGGGAAUGUCGACCCGCAGUGUGCACUGCUGCUGCACCGCCGAGGCCGUCGCCACAUAUCGUUUAAACUGGAAAGGGACUACAGCGAGGAGGGCGGCGGCAGGGCGGAUCGCGGUGGCCCGGCAGCUGCACCUGCCGGAAGCUCAAAGAAACUCGCCAAUCCUGCGACGGCACCGCUGCUUUUCGCUGCUACCCCGCCACACCUCAGCAUGAAGGCCGCGGAGGUGAAUGAGGCAGCAGCGGCUGCGACGACACGUGUACUGGCGCCGGCCGAACACCUUCUUGCGAUGUGUGAGCGACUGGAGGAGGUGCUGCUGCGCCACGAAGGCGAGCGGCAUGUGCUGGAGGACAUGCUCCGCUCAGUGUAAGGCUGGCUGAGGCCGGGACCUCGGUAGUGGCGUGUCUUGAGGCGUUGUGUUCGACACGAAUCAAAUGGCGAAGUGUGUGUGCGUGUGUGUGUGUGGGGGGGGGGUGCGGCGGCGGCUCUCGUGGAUGUUGAUGGGGGCCGUCGGGUACGCGAUUGUGGUGGUGACGGCGGUGUUUGCAGCUUUGAUGAAUGAGAGCGCGCGCGCGCUCUCUUGUCCCUGUCGUUUCUGUUUGGCCGUGGACUUUAGUUUUCUGUUUGCGGGUGCACGUGUGUGCGUACGUGCGUGUGUGCGUAACAUGUGGGUGUGCAGAGCUGGAG
RNAcentral lists this unclassified non-coding RNA (4391 nucleotides) under Leishmania donovani. Its description in RNAcentral is "gene:LdHU3.23.1460(CDS-product:hypothetical_prote in)". The record is from RNAcentral. Lineage: Eukaryota; Euglenozoa; Kinetoplastea; Trypanosomatida; Trypanosomatidae.